GACAUGACUCUCGACAAUGGAUAUCUUGGCUCUUGCAUCGAUGAAGAGCGCAGCGAAAUGCGAUACGUGGUGCGAAUUGCAGAAUCCCGUGAACCAUCGAGUCUUUGAACGCAAGUUGCGCCCGAGGCUAGCUAGCUAAGGGCACGUCCGCCUGGGCGUCAAGC
This 164-nucleotide ribosomal RNA is filed under the name Comparettia micrantha. Its description in RNAcentral is "5.8S ribosomal RNA". It matches the Rfam family "5.8S ribosomal RNA". Rfam says of the family: 5.8S ribosomal RNA (5.8S rRNA) is a component of the large subunit of the eukaryotic ribosome. It is transcribed by RNA polymerase I as part of the 45S precursor that also contains 18S and 28S rRNA. Lineage: Eukaryota; Viridiplantae; Streptophyta; Magnoliopsida; Asparagales; Orchidaceae. The record is from RNAcentral.